Molecule: ribosomal RNA, 301 nt
Filed under: uncultured bacterium
Lineage: Bacteria
Description: partial 16S ribosomal RNA
Rfam family: Bacterial small subunit ribosomal RNA
Source: RNAcentral
CAGUAGCCGCGGUAAUACGAGGGGGGCAAGCGUUGUUCGGAAUUAUUGGGCGUAAAGGGUGCGUAGGCGGUUUGGCAAGUUUGGUGUGAAAUCUUCGGGCUCAACUCGAAGUCUGCAUCGAAAACUGCCGGGCUUGAGUAUGGGAGAGGUGAGUGGAAUUUCCGGUGUAGCGGUGAAAUGCGUAGAUAUCGGAAGGAACACCUGUGGCGAAAGCGGCUCACUGGACCAUAACUGACGCUGAUGCACGAAAGCUAGGGGAGCAAACAGGAUUAGAUACCCCGUAGUCCCUGUCUCUUAUACA